RNAcentral lists this ribosomal RNA (520 nucleotides) under uncultured Glomus. RNAcentral describes it as "SSU rRNA". It matches the Rfam family "Eukaryotic small subunit ribosomal RNA", at positions 569 to 1090 of the family's 1831-position model. The record is from RNAcentral. Lineage: Eukaryota; Fungi; Glomeromycota; Glomeromycetes; Glomerales; Glomeraceae.
AGCAGCCGCGGUAAUUCCAGCUCCAAUAGCGUAUAUUAAAGUUGUUGCAGUUAAAAAGCUCGUAGUUGAAUUUCGGGGUCAGUAGGCUGGUCGUGCCCCCGGUACGUACUGGUCUCACUGAUUCCUCCUUCCUGAAGAACCGUAAUGCCAUUAAUUUGGUGUUGCGGGGAAACAGGACUGUUACUUUGAAAAAAUUAGAGUGUUUAAAGCAGGCUAACGCUUGAAUACAUUAGCAUGGAAUAAUGAAAUAGGACGAUCGAUCCUAUUUUGUUGGUUUCUAGGAUUGACGUAAUGAUUAAUAGGGAUAGUUGGGGGCAUUAGUAUUCAAUUGUCAGAGGUGAAAUUCUUGGAUUUAUUGAAGACUAACUACUGCGAAAGCAUUUGCCAAGGAUGUUUUCAUUAAUCAAGAACGAAAGUUAGGGGAUCGAAGACGAUCAGAUACCGUCGUAGUCUUAACCAUAAACUAUGCCGACUAGGGAUCGGGUGAUGUUAAUUUUAUAAUGACUCAUUCGGCGCCUUA